Molecule: unclassified non-coding RNA, 271 nt
Filed under: Peniophora albobadia
Lineage: Eukaryota; Fungi; Basidiomycota; Agaricomycetes; Russulales; Peniophoraceae
Description: partial internal transcribed spacer region
Rfam family: Eukaryotic small subunit ribosomal RNA (bases 1-46)
Source: RNAcentral
AAGUCGUAACAAGGUUUCCGUAGGUGAACCUGCGGAAGGAUCAUUAGCGAAGUUCGGAAUGCAUGUUCGGUGUUGAUGCUGCCCAGCGAUGGGAUGUGCUCGCUCGGAUGUGUGUCCCUUCUCUAUCCACCCCACUGUGAACCAAGUGUGUGAGCCGAAGAGAAAUCGGAUGCUCGCAUGCAAACCUUUAACAUACCCCAAUGAAGUAUCAGAAUGUACCUUGCGUUAACUCGCACAAAUAUAACUUUCAACAACGGAUCUCUUGGCUCUC